GGUGAGUAACACGUAGGGUAACGUACCCUGGAGUCCGGGAUAACCAGUCGAAAGACUGGCUAAUACCGGAUACGACCGCGAAGGCUCCGGCCUUUGUGGUGAAAGAUGGCCUCUGUUUACAAGCUAUCACUCCUGGAUCGGCCUGCGCACCAUUAGCUAGUUGGUGAGGUAAUGGCUCACCAAGGCUGAGAUGGUUAGCUGGUCUGAGAGGAUGGCCAGCCACACUGGGACUGAGACACGGCCCAGACUCCUACGGGAGGCAGCAGUGGGGGAAUAUUGCGCAAUGGGGGAAACCCUGACGCAGCGACGCCGCGUGGGUGAUGAAGGCCUUCGGGUCGUAAAGCCCUGUCGGGAGGGAAGAAACAGCUCGGGCCUAAUAUGUCCGGGCAUUGACGGUACCUCCUAAGGAAGCACCGGCUAACUCCGUGCCAGCAGCCGCGGUAA
This 444-nucleotide ribosomal RNA is filed under the name uncultured delta proteobacterium. Its description in RNAcentral is "bacterial SSU rRNA". It matches the Rfam family "Bacterial small subunit ribosomal RNA", at positions 105 to 523 of the family's 1533-position model. The record is from RNAcentral. Lineage: Bacteria; Deltaproteobacteria.